Molecule: non-coding RNA, 247 nt
Organism: Pelobates cultripes (western spadefoot toad)
Lineage: Eukaryota; Metazoa; Chordata; Amphibia; Anura; Pelobatidae
Source: the annotation of a GenBank genome assembly
UGUUGACAUUAUAGCUGCGCAGGCACUUUGUUGACUCUAGAGAACCUCCCCCGUGGCGGUGACUUUGCAUCCGGAUGUCAUCCAUAUCAACUUUCAAUGCCAGUUUCUGUGCCUACCAUGGUGACCACGGGUAACGGGGAAUCAGGGUUCCAUUCCAUACAGCGACCCUGAGAAAUGGCUACCACAUGCAAGGAAGGCAGCAGGCGCGCAAACGACCCACUCCCGACGCGGGAAGGUAGUGACGACA